RNAcentral lists this ribosomal RNA (911 nucleotides) under Metapseudomonas resinovorans. RNAcentral's name for it is "bacterial SSU rRNA". It matches the Rfam family "Bacterial small subunit ribosomal RNA", at positions 36 to 942 of the family's 1533-position model. The record is from RNAcentral. Lineage: Bacteria; Pseudomonadati; Pseudomonadota; Gammaproteobacteria; Pseudomonadales; Pseudomonadaceae.
CUGGCGGCAGGCCUAACACAUGCAAGUCGAGCGGCAGCGGGUCCUUCGGGAUGCCGGCGAGCGGCGGACGGGUGAGUAAUGCCUAGGAAUCUGCCUGGUAGUGGGGGAUAACGUUCGGAAACGGACGCUAAUACCGCAUACGUCCUACGGGAGAAAGUGGGGGAUCUUCGGACCUCACGCUAUCAGAUGAGCCUAGGUCGGAUUAGCUAGUUGGUGGGGUAAUGGCUCACCAAGGCGACGAUCCGUAACUGGUCUGAGAGGAUGAUCAGUCACACUGGAACUGAGACACGGUCCAGACUCCUACGGGAGGCAGCAGUGGGGAAUAUUGGACAAUGGGCGAAAGCCUGAUCCAGCCAUGCCGCGUGUGUGAAGAAGGUCUUCGGAUUGUAAAGCACUUUAAGUUGGGAGGAAGGGCAGCUAGUUAAUACCUGGUUGUUUUGACGUUACCAACAGAAUAAGCACCGGCUAACUUCGUGCCAGCAGCCGCGGUAAUACGAAGGGUGCAAGCGUUAAUCGGAAUUACUGGGCGUAAAGCGCGCGUAGGUGGUUCAGCAAGUUGGAGGUGAAAUCCCCGGGCUCAACCUGGGAACUGCCUCCAAAACUACUGAGCUAGAGUACGGUAGAGGGUAGUGGAAUUUCCUGUGUAGCGGUGAAAUGCGUAGAUAUAGGAAGGAACACCAGUGGCGAAGGCGACUACCUGGACUGAUACUGACACUGAGGUGCGAAAGCGUGGGGAGCAAACAGGAUUAGAUACCCUGGUAGUCCACGCCGUAAACGAUGUCGACUAGCCGUUGGGAUCCUUGAGAACUUAGUGGCGAAGCUAACGCGAUAAGUCGACCGCCUGGGGAGUACGGCCGCAAGGUUAAAACUCAAAUGAAUUGACGGGGGCCCGCACAAGCGGUGGAGCAUGU